RNAcentral lists this ribosomal RNA (676 nucleotides) under uncultured bacterium. Its description in RNAcentral is "bacterial SSU rRNA". It matches the Rfam family "Bacterial small subunit ribosomal RNA", at positions 8 to 673 of the family's 1533-position model. The record is from RNAcentral.
AGAGUUUGAUCCUGGCUCAGAACGAACGCUGGCGGCGUGCCUAACACAUGCAAGUCGAACGGUAACAGAACUAGCUUGCUAGUUGCUGACGAGUGGCGCACGGGUGAGUAACGCGUGGAUAUCUGCCUAUUAGUGGGGGACAACUUGUGGAAACGCAAGCUAAUACCGCAUAAUCCCUACGGGGGAAAGCAAGGGGGACCUUCGGGCCUUGUGCUGAUAGAUGAGUCCGCGUCUGAUUAGCUAGUUGGUAAGGUAAAGGCUUACCAAGGCGAUGAUCAGUAUCUGGUUUGAGAGGAUGAUCAGACACACUGGAACUGAGACACGGUCCAGACUCCUACGGGAGGCAGCAGUGGGGAAUAUUGCACAAUGGGGGAAACCCUGAUGCAGCGACGCCGCGUGUGGGAAGAAGGCCUUCGGGUUGUAAACCACUUUCAAUUGGGAAGAAGAGAUGAGGUUUAAUACACUUCUGAUUUGACGGUACCUUUAGAAGAAGCACCGGCUAAUUUCGUGCCAGCAGCCGCGGUAAUACGAAAGGUGCAAGCGUUGUUCGGAUUUACUGGGCGUAAAGAGAGUGUAGGUUGUUUAUUAAGUCGGAUGUGAAAUCCCGGGGCUCAACCUCGGAACUGCAUUCGAUACUGGUAGGCUAGAGUUUGGGAGGGGUAAGCGGAAUUCCGUG